Molecule: ribosomal RNA, 190 nt
Filed under: Streptococcus suis
Lineage: Bacteria; Bacillati; Bacillota; Bacilli; Lactobacillales; Streptococcaceae
Description: partial 16S ribosomal RNA
Rfam family: Bacterial small subunit ribosomal RNA
Source: RNAcentral
UUUUAAUGAGAGUUUGAUCCUGGCUCAGGACGAACGCUGGCGGCGUGCCUAAUACAUGCAAGUAGAACGCUGAAGUCUGGUGCUUGCACUAGACGGAUGAGUUGCGAACGGGUGAGUAACGCGUAGGUAACCUGCCUCAUAGCGGGGGAUAACUAUUGGAAACGAUAGCUAAUACCGCAUAACAGUAUUU